GUUUAGGAGUGCAUUUCAAUCAACUUAAUUAUGCUUCUGCUCCUUACCUCUGUUGCCAGAACUGUAAAGAAAUGCUUCUGCGAGAGAUCGAGUCUUCUGCGUUUUCAGGGGCAAGCAACAACAGAUCAGCUAUAGUCCUCCUGAUCCAGUCAAGCUUUUAUCCACUUCCCUCUACAAACGGUUUCUCAGCUCUCUUAAUUUAGAUGGAUAGGAGAAGGUAGAGCCAUAAAGGAAACGAAUGGAUCAAGCAUAGGAGUUAAGGCACCCGUAGUAGAAGGAAUUGUUUUGUCUGAGUUUCUUGAUCUGGAAGUACAAUGGUCUGCAAGAGAAGAAACACUGAUGGACUAUCAGUGCAUAAUAAAACACUCUGAAUCUAGGAUGAAUCACUGUCUGGAUGACAUGAGAAUCUUAGUUUAUUUUCGAGACGAGAUGUGCAGGAUAGUGUUUCUUUAAUCUAUAAACAUUAAUCUAUGAAUGAGAUGAUAUCAUAUAUAUAAUCAAUGGUUUAGUUUGUUUGCUUUGAGUUUUGUUUUUACAUCUCCUAAUACUAGACUCAAACAAGCUUUGUUGGUAGGGUGGUGAGGACCAUCCAUAUGAUGAGGGGCUGCUAAUCUCUCUCUGGACUCAAACCCAAUUGUAAACAACAUUGGUCCAGAUAACACCAACAGGUGUGAUGCUGCUGCAACCAUCGAAGGCUGUUCAGAAGUGUCCAAACCGAUUCCUCCGCAAACUGUUCCGCUGGUCAACACGAAGAAACUAUAAAGGAUCUUGAUCACUCCAACUAUGGAGACAAGGUCCAGAUCUUAAGAAACUAUAAAAGAUCCUGAUCACUCCAACUAUGGAGACAAUGAAGCUGGCCAAAAGUUUCCCAAUUCCAUUUCCAGUUCCCAAGUAUUUACAAUUUACUGAAUAAGUCAUUGUCUUUCAACUUCUUAAUUAAUCAGUUCUGGUUUCGUUUGUUCAAGUACAAUUGGUACACAUGGUAAUUUUAGUAUUUAUGUUGAUAUAAAACUUUUUUGUUAACCA
This is a long non-coding RNA of Brassica rapa (field mustard), 1026 nucleotides long. RefSeq lists it as uncharacterized. NCBI's taxonomy places the organism in Eukaryota, Viridiplantae, Streptophyta, Magnoliopsida, Brassicales, Brassicaceae. The record is from RefSeq and is a predicted model, not a curated record.